This 1726-nucleotide long non-coding RNA is filed under the name Gallus gallus (chicken). Lineage: Eukaryota; Metazoa; Chordata; Aves; Galliformes; Phasianidae. The record is from RNAcentral.
AAACAUACCUGAGCAUAGAGAAAAAUAGCACUCCUAAUAUGGCUGGUAAGGGAAUACAUUUUUACUGUUUUAUUUUUCAGCUUCUGUAAGAAAGGAAUUUACAGUUCCCACACAGAUGGCUACAGUGCUAUACCUCCACAGAUGUGCAUAAGAAGAAAGAGGGCCUGAGUGAGCAUGAAGUUGACUGAGCACUGGCACAGGUUGUCCAGAGGCUGUGGAGUCUUCAGAAGAUCUUCAAAAGCCAUUUCAAAGAUCUGCAAAAGCUGCCUGGAUUUGGUCCAGACCCCCUGCUCUGGGUGUCCCUGCUGGAGCAGGGGUUGGACCGGAUGGAUCCAGAGGUCCCUGCCCACCUCAACCUUUGUGUGACCUGAGCCCACUUAUCAGUGGUGACAUGAUGAAUUCUUCUGUGGUUGGUGUACUGAAUGAGAUAAUGUAAAACUGCUGCAGGAGUGUCUUUGUUCUACUCAUGAAGAUCCUUUAGCUUGAACCAAAUGUGCAACUAAAGUAGGGCCAUUAGAGACUCUCCAAUUAACAAGCUUCACCCAUAAUCCAAGGCAAAAACCAUGAAUAAAAAAAAAAACAAAACACUUAAAUCUCCAUGGUGUUUCUAUUUACUUGUCUAUUUGGAGGCUGGAAGUGUUCUGCCUGUGAUCAAGGAUUGCCUGUGUUUGAAUUAAAGAUGUAGAACUGUAGCAGUUAUUAAACAGACUGUGUGCUGAUUAUUGACAAAUGACAUUUUGUUAGCAUAAAAACAUGUCUUUUAUGAGAGAUGCUGAAUCAAGAUGACUCAAGAGAAUAAAGUAGGCCACUUCACAGAUAGCUCAGCCAAGACUUUUCAGCUCAAUUUGAAGUCAAGAUCGGAAACACAAACAUAGUUAACCAGCUUUUUUUUUUUUUUUUUUUUAACAAAACCCACAUGGAGAUCAGUACAGUAUUCUGUAAAUCAGGAAUAUCCUUGUCUGUAAUUAAUAUGCAGUGAAGAUUACUGCCUUUUGAAGAAAGAAUUUUGAGGAGCCACUCAAGUCAUACUGCUAGUGCUCAAGAAACUUGGAAAUAGGCCAUUCCUGAUAGAAGAUGGAUGUGAUAAAAGUGUACAAAGUAACAAAUAAAAUCAAGAUUAGAGAAAAUACUAUUUCACCCAACCUGUAAUUCUGUAAUUAGCUUUUGGACUCACUGCUAUGAAGAGUCAAGAGCAAGACUGUAAUUAGAUUCCAAAUGGGAUUGGAAAUGUAUAUUGCUGUAAUUAAUUAUAACUCUGGAUGUAUUUCUGUAAGUAUUCCUUUUUUUUUUUUUUUUUUUUCCCAGCAAUAUUAAAUCUUAGUCUUCCCCCUGGAGGGACUGUGUUUUUACAGGAACGCCAAAGAACACGUGAGCAGGAUACAGCCCUUAGGUAGUCUGCAAUGCACGAAUGACACUCCUGAGGGAGAAACAAAGGUGCCGUUAUGGCACUGAGCGGUAGGGCAGCAAGGUGCUGGGUGGUCUGUGUGUGUGGAAGACUGACACAAUAAUAACUUAGACUAAUACUCAAACAUACAGUCACGGACACCAGAUGGUCGCCAGCUGGGAUACAAGUCUCCUCAUUUCAGAAAUUGUACAUCCCUUGUAAAAUAUCUUUAUCACUAUCAGCUUAAACUUUACUUUAACAGUCUGCUGUGUUGGCUGAGUUUAACAGUACACUAAACAUGGUAAUUACGGAUACUGAGGGAAAUUUUAAGUUGCAACUGGA